AAAGUUCAGUUUAGGAUUUAAAACCCUAAGGCUGAUUAAAGGAAAAAGUUCAGUUCAGGGUUUAAAACCCUAAUGCUGAUUGCAUGGAAAAGCUUAGCUUAGUUUAGGGUUUAAAACCCUAAUGCUGGCUGAAUGGAAAAAAGUUCAGUUUAGGGUUUAAAACCCUAAUGCUGACUAAAGGAUAAAUUCAGUUUAGGGUUUAAAACCCUAAUGUUGAUUGCAUGGAAAAGCUCAGUUUAGGGUUUAAAACCCUAAUGUUGGCUGAAUGGAAAAAAGUUCAGUUUAGGGUUUAAAACUCUAAUGCCGACUAAAGGAAAAAUUCAGUUUAGGGUUUAAAACCCUAAUGUUGAUUGCAUGGAAAAGCUCAGUUUAGGGUUUAAAACCCUAAUGCUGGCUGAAUGGAUAAAAGUUCAGUUUAGUGUUUAAAACCCUAAUGCUGGCUGAAUGGAAAAAAGUUCAGUUUAGGGUUUAAAACCCUAAUGCUGACUAAAGGAAAAAUUCAGUUUACGGUUUAAAACCCUAAUGCUGAUUGCAUGGAAAAGCUCAAUUUAGGGUUUAAAACCCUAAUGCUGGCUGAAUGGAAAAAAGUUCAGUUUAGGGUUUAAAAUCCUAAUGCUGAUUAAAGUAAAAAUUCAGUUUAGGGUUUAAAACCCUAAUGCUGAUUGCAUGGAAAAGCUCAGUUUAGGGUUUAAAACCCUAAUGCUGGCUGAAUGGAAAAAAGUUCAGUUUAGGGUUUAAAACCCUAAUGCUGAUUAAAGUAAAAAUUCAGUUUACGGUUUAAAACCCUAAUGCUGAUUGCAUGGAAAAGCUCAGUUUAGGGUUUAAAACCCUAAUGCAGAUUGCAUGGAAAAGCUUAGUUUAGGGUUUAAAACCCUAAUGCUGGCUGAAUGGAAAAAAGUUCAGUUUAGGGUUUAAAACCCUAAUGCUGAUUAAAGGAAAAAUUCAGUUUAGGGUUUAAAACCCUAAUGCUGAUUGCAUGGAAAAGCUCAGUUUAGGGUUUAAAACCCUAAUGCUGGCUGAAUGGAAAAAAGUUCAAUUUAGGGUUUAAAACCCUAAUGCUGACUAAAGGAAAAAUUCAGUUUACGGUUUAAAACCCUAAUGCUGAUUGCAUGGAAAAGCUCAGUUUAGGGUUUAAAACCCUAAUGCUGGCUGAAUGGAAAAAAGUUCAGUUUAGGGUUUAAAACCCUAAGGCCGAUUAAAGGAAAAAGUUCAGUUCAGGGUUUAAACCCCUAAUGCUGAUUGCAUGGAAAAGCUCAGUUUAGGGUUUAAAACCCUAAUGCUGGCUGAAUGGAAAAAAGUUCAGUUUAGGGUUUAAAACCCUAAUGCUGACUAAAGGAAAAAUUCAGUUUAGGGUUUAAAACCCUAAUGCUGAUUGCAUGGAAAAGCUCAGUUUAAAGUUUAAAACCCUAAUGCUGGCUGAAUGGAAAAAAUUUCAGUUUAGGUUUAAAACCCUAAUGCUGAUUGCAAUGGAAAAGCUCAGUUUAGGGUUUAAAACCCUAAUGCUGGCUAAAUGGAAAAAAGUUCAGUUUAGGGUUUAAAACCCUAAUGAUGACUAGAGGAAAAAAUUAGUUUAGGGUUUAAAACCCUAAUGCUGAUUGCAUGGAAAAGCUCAGUUUAGGGUUUAAAACCCUAAUGCUGACUGAAUGGAAAAAAGUUCAGUUUAGGGUUUAAAACCCUAAUGCUGACUAAAGGAAAAAUUCAGUUUAGGGUUUAAAACCCUAAUGUUGAUUGCAUGGAAAAGCUCAGUUUAAGGUUUAAAACCCUAAUGCUGGCUGAAUGGAAAAAAGUUCAGUUUAGGGUUUAAAACCCUAAUGCUGACUAAAAGGAAAAUUCAAUUUAGGGUUUAAAACCCUAAUGCUGAUUGCAUGGAAAAGCUCAGUUUAGGGUUUAAAACCCUAAUGCUGGCUGAAAGGAAAAAGUUCAGUUUAGGGUUUAAAACCCUAAUGCUGACUAAAAGGAAAGUUCAGUUUAGGGUUUAAAACCCUACUGCUGACUGAAUGGAAAAAGUUCAGUUUAGGGUUUAAAACCCUAAUGCUGACUAAAGGGAAAAAGUUCAGUUUAGGGUUUAAAACCCUAAUGCUGACUGAAUGGGAAAAGUUCAGUUUAGGGUUUAAAACCCUAAUGCUGAUUGCAUGGAAAAGAUCAGUUUAGGGUUUAAAACCCUAAUGCUGGCUGAAUGGAAAAAGUUCAGUUUAGGGUUUAAAACCCUAAUGCUGACUAAAAGGAAAAUUCAGUUUAGGGUUUAAAACCCUAAUGCUGAUUGCAUGGAAAAGCUCAGUUUAGGGUUUAAAACCCUAAUGCUGGCUGAAAAGAAAAAGUUCAGUUUAGGGUUUAAAACCCUAAUGCUGACUAAAAGGAAAAUUCAGUUUAGGGUUUAAAACCCUAAUGCUGAUUGCAUGGAAAAGCUCAGUUUAGGGUUUAAAACCCUAAUGCUGGCUGAAAGGAAAAAGUUCAGUUUAGGGUUUAAAACCCUAAUGCUGACUAAAAGGAAAUUUCAGUUUAGGGUUUAAAACCCU
This 2516-nucleotide long non-coding RNA is filed under the name Nicotiana tabacum (common tobacco). RNAcentral's name for it is "long non-coding RNA (NTAB_LNC003312)". The record is from RNAcentral. Lineage: Eukaryota; Viridiplantae; Streptophyta; Magnoliopsida; Solanales; Solanaceae.